UGAAUACGAGACGCUAAGGCGUCGAAGUAGUGUAUAUCAGACUUCCAAGAAAAGCUUGCACUGUCAUAGAUAAAAAAUGCCUGUACCAUAACCGACACAGGUGGGUAGGUAGAGUAUACUAAGGGGCGCGAGAUAACUCUCUCUAAGGAACUCGGCAAAAUAACUCCGUAACUUCGGGAGAAGGAGUGCCUUAUUUAUAAGGUUGCAAUAACAAGAUCCAAGCAACUGUUUAUCAAAAACACAGGUCUCCGCUAAGUCGUAGGACGAUGUAUGGGGGCUGACGCCUGCCCAGUGCCAGAAGGUUAAAGAAGUUGGUUAGCAAUUGCGAAGCUGAUAACUGAAGCCCUGGUGAACGGCGGCCGUAACGAUAACGGUCCUAAGGUAGCGAAAUUCCUUGUCGGGUAAGUUCCGACCCGCACGAAAGGCGUAAUGAUUUGGAUACUGUCUCGGAGAGGGGCUCGGUGAAAUAGACUUGUCUGUGAAGAUGCGGACUACCUGCACCAGGACAGAAAGACCCUAUGAAGCUUUACUGUAACUUGAAAUUGAAAUUGGACUUUAUUCGCGCAGCAUAGGUGGGAGGCGUUGAUUAUAAUCUUGCGGGAUUAUUGGAGCCAUCAGUGAGAUACCACUCUUGUAAUGUUAGAUUUCUAACUUUGAAUCAUUAUCUGGUCAAAGAACAGUUUCAGGCGGGCAGUUUGACUGGGGCGGUCGCCUCCUAAAUGGUAACGGAGGCGUACAAAGGUUUCCUCUGAACGGUUAGAAAUCGUAUCUAGAGUGUAAAGGCAUAAGGAAGCUUGACUGUGAGACCUACAAGUCGAGCAGGGACGAAAGUCGGUCUUAGUGAUCUGACGGUACUGAGUGGAAAGGCCGUCACUCAACGGAUAAAAGUUACUCUAAGGAUAACAGGCUGAUCUCCCCCAAGAGUUCACAUCGACGGGGAGGUUUGGCACCUCGAUGUCGGCUCAUCGCAUCCUGGGGCGGUAGUACGUCCCAAGGGUUGGGCUGUUCGCCCAUGAAAGCGGUACGCGAGCUGGGUUCAGAACGUCGUGAGACAGUUCGGUCCAUAUCCGGUGUAGGCGUUAGAAUAUUGAGAGGAGCCUUCUUUAGUACGAGAGGACCGAGAAGGACAUACCUCUGGUGUACCAGUUAUCGUGCCAACGGUAAACGCUGGGUAGCUGUGUAUGGAGUGGAUAACCGCUGAAAGCAUCUAAGUGGGAAGCCCACCUCAAGAUAAGUAUUCUCAUC
RNAcentral lists this ribosomal RNA (1245 nucleotides) under metagenome. RNAcentral's name for it is "bacterial LSU rRNA". It matches the Rfam family "Bacterial large subunit ribosomal RNA", at positions 1564 to 2818 of the family's 2925-position model. The record is from RNAcentral.